UACAGAAGGUGCGAGCGUUAAUCGGAAUUACUGGGCGUAAAGCGUGCGUAGACGGUUACGUAAGUCGGGUGUGAAAGCCCCGGGCUCAACCUGGGAAUUGCAUUCGAGACUGCGUAGCUAGGGUGCGGAAGAGGGAAGCGGAAUUUCCGGUGUAGCGGUGAAAUGCGUAGAUAUCGGAAGGAACAUCAGUGGCGAAAGCGGCUUCCUGGUCCAGCACCGACGUUCAGGCACGAAAGCGUGGGGAGCAAACAGG
RNAcentral lists this ribosomal RNA (253 nucleotides) under uncultured bacterium. Its description in RNAcentral is "partial 16S ribosomal RNA". It matches the Rfam family "Bacterial small subunit ribosomal RNA", at positions 524 to 776 of the family's 1533-position model. The record is from RNAcentral.